RNAcentral lists this ribosomal RNA (660 nucleotides) under uncultured bacterium. RNAcentral's name for it is "bacterial SSU rRNA". It matches the Rfam family "Bacterial small subunit ribosomal RNA", at positions 544 to 1203 of the family's 1533-position model. The record is from RNAcentral.
UCCGGAUUUAUUGGGCGUAAAGGGCUCGUAGGCGGCUCGUCGCGUCCGGUGUGAAAGUCCAUCGCUUAACGGUGGAUCUGCGCCGGGUACGGGCGGGCUGGAGUGCGGUAGGGGAGACUGGAAUUCCCGGUGUAACGGUGGAAUGUGUAGAUAUCGGGAAGAACACCGAUGGCGAAGGCAGGUCUCUGGGCCGUCACUGACGCUGAGGAGCGAAAGCGUGGGGAGCGAACAGGAUUAGAUACCCUGGUAGUCCACGCCGUAAACGGUGGACGCUGGAUGUGGGGCACGUUCCACGUGUUCCGUGUCGGAGCUAACGCGUUAAGCGUCCCGCCUGGGGAGUACGGCCGCAAGGCUAAAACUCAAAGAAAUUGACGGGGGCCCGCACAAGCGGCGGAGCAUGCGGAUUAAUUCGAUGCAACGCGAAGAACCUUACCUGGGCUUGACAUGUUCCCGACGACGCCAGAGAUGGCGUUUCCCUUCGGGGCGGGUUCACAGGUGGUGCAUGGUCGUCGUCAGCUCGUGUCGUGAGAUGUUGGGUUAAGUCCCGCAACGAGCGCAACCCUCGCCCCGUGUUGCCAGCACGUCAUGGUGGGAACUCACGGGGGACCGCCGGGGUUAACUCGAAGGAAGGUGGGGAUGACGUCAAAUCUCAUGCCCCUU